RNAcentral lists this ribosomal RNA (520 nucleotides) under uncultured Glomus. Its description in RNAcentral is "SSU rRNA". It matches the Rfam family "Eukaryotic small subunit ribosomal RNA", at positions 569 to 1089 of the family's 1831-position model. The record is from RNAcentral. Lineage: Eukaryota; Fungi; Glomeromycota; Glomeromycetes; Glomerales; Glomeraceae.
AGCAGCCGCGGUAAUUCCAGCUCCAAUAGCGUAUAUUAAAGUUGUUGCAGUUAAAAAGCUCGUAGUUGAAUUUCGGGGUCAGUAGGCUGGUCGUGCCACAGGUAUGUACUGGUCUUACUGAUUCCUCCUUCCUGAUGAACCGUAAUGCCAUUAAUUUGGUGUUGCGGGGAAUCUGGACUGUUACUUUGAAAAAAUUAGAGUGUUUAAAGCAGGCUAACGCUUGAAUACAUUAGCAUGGAAUAAUGAAAUAGGACGAUCGAUCCUAUUUUGUUGGUUUCUAGGAUUGACGUAAUGAUUAAUAGGGAUAGUUGGGGGCAUUAGUAUUCAAUUGUCAGAGGUGAAAUUCUUGGAUUUAUUGAAGACUAACUACUGCGAAAGCAUUUGCCAAGGAUGUUUUCAUUAAUCAAGAACGAAAGUUAGGGGAUCGAAGACGAUCAGAUACCGUCGUAGUCUUAACCAUAAACUAAUGCCGACUAGGGAUCGGAUGAUGUUAAUUUUUAAUUGACUCAUUCGGCGCCUU